Molecule: small nuclear RNA, 107 nt
Organism: Jaculus jaculus (lesser Egyptian jerboa)
Lineage: Eukaryota; Metazoa; Chordata; Mammalia; Rodentia; Dipodidae
Source: Ensembl
GUGCUCACGUUGGCAGCAUAUAUACUAAAAUUGGAAUGAUACAGAGAAGAUUAGCAUGACCCCUGGGCAAGGAUGACAUACAAAUUCAUGAAGUGUUCCAUAUUUUU